Long non-coding RNA from Hemicordylus capensis (graceful crag lizard), 1981 nucleotides. RefSeq lists it as uncharacterized. Lineage: Eukaryota; Metazoa; Chordata; Lepidosauria; Squamata; Cordylidae. The record is from RefSeq and is a predicted model, not a curated record. The transcript is spliced from 3 exons.
UAUCCACCUUGUCCUUUUAAAUGUAUAUUAAAAAUCAGGUCCAUAAAGCAGUACAUACUUUUGUUGUUUUGAACAGAAUCUGCUAUUUUUCAAGCUAUUAGUCCUUGAAGUCCACAUUAUAACAGAGUAAUCAGCUGAGCAUCUACAUCGCACCACGUCUCAAAUAGCCUGGUUGAUUCUUCCCAGUAACAAUCUUUUCCCUCAAUAAACAUGGCUGCUGCGUGCCUUUACCCUUAGUCUUAGCAGCAGCCAGUGCUCGUCUGAGUGGGCAAUCUGCCCACCUGAGGGAAGAAAACGGAUUGUCUGCGGGGAGGUAAGCUCUUCAAGGACUCUAGUUUGACCCCAGUGUUGUUUAACACCUGUAUGAAACUGCUGAGUGAAAUCAUCCAUGGAUUUGAAGUGCGGUGUCAUCACUGAUGACCCCCAGUUCUACUUCUCCUUUUCAUCAAAUACAGAUGGAAAAUUUAUGACUCCAAAGGGCAGUGUUCUAUCAAAGAGUUUGGCCAAGGCCACUUCACCUACUGGGUGAUGUGAGGACACAGCAAGAUGAAAGUGAAGUUAGUUCAUUUCUUCCCAUCACAACAAAAAGGUUGAUGAAGAAUAUACUUGAUAUCCUGCUGUCCCCAGUUACCUGGGAGUUUGGAGCCUGCCGUUUGAAUAAUGUUUCUUGUACAAUAGGAAUGACAGCAGAAGUGUGGAGAGACUGAUAGGGCUUCCUGCAGGCUCAGCUUUUAUAGUUCAAACUCAUUCUUUACCCUCAGAAUAGAACGGAUAAUAAAUGUGUAAGUAAGUAGCUAGCAAUCUUCAGUCACAGCGGAGUAACCAGUUGCUUUCUUGCAGUUUAAAAACUGCACUUAGAAAUUCUUGCAACUGAACAGUCUUGCUUCACAUUUGCUUCACAUUUCAUGUUUGAUGUCUGCAUGAAACAGAAUACAGUAAAUUGCACUAGUUGUGGCAGAAUUUGAAUAAUGCAAAAUCAAAGUGCUCCAUGAAUUGUUAACCAGGACUUUAGUGAUGAAACGUAUGCAUGUUAAGUUGUCAAUUUAAUGAUGCACCCACCAACAAUAAGGCCCUUUGCUAUAUGUACAUUCAGCACGAUCAAGGGGCCCCAAUGCAAGUAGGAGUUCAGAUGCUCACUGCAGCAGCUGCAUAAAGGCUUCCCUGUUGAUUUCCAUGUUGGACCAGCACUGUGCAUGCAUUCUCAUUGUGCAUCAUAAGCUGGCCCUAAUAUUAAAUCCCAAAUGAAAACCCACCCAUGCAGGAGCAUUGCAUGCACAUUAGAGUGAAUUUAAUGUGCAGUUGGACCCAACUAAAAAUAUAAUUUCUGUCCAAAUAAGGGUGUUAUUAAAAUGGCAUUUUGGCCCUGUGGUCUAGAAAAGAUGAGCACUGUUUCACCUUAUGCCUGCAAAGGUUUAAGCUAGACAAUUCUAUGCUCAGCCAUACCAAUGGAGUAGCAAAGUUAGAGAAACUUUAAACACAGGGAUUGCAAUACUUGCAUGUCAGAGUGCCAGUCCUUAUGCUUUAAAAUCACCCAUGUAGAGCAGCUCCAUGGAUGCAGCCACAUGAGUUGAGAUAAGUCAUUGGUGCAACCAUAUUUAAGUGGAACCAUAUUUAUAGAGACCAUUUUCCAGCAGUGAUCUACAUAAACGUCAUGGCAUAUUUUCCAACCUCUUUACUUGCAUGAAUUGCCACCAGGAAGUAGCACCUAUCAAUGUGAAUGUGCUUUGUGCAUUAAUUCUUCCAUGUAGCUACCCCAUGUGAAGAAUUUUACAUCCAUAGCAAAUGAUGCUCCUCUAUAACAGCGUGUAGUGAAACAGAGUGUAGGAGAGCACAAAUAGGAUGUCUCAGCAUCACAUAAAUACUGAGAAAAGACAUCUCCCCUCUAGCUCAUGGACAAUGAAUGUUGCAAGGCCAAGAAAAAGCAGCAUUUCCCCCUUAUAAUGUCAGUCAUUAUGCCAUUGGUCCGUAGUUUGGAGUGCUG